GCCAGGGUGGCUCAGUUGGUUAAGCGUCCGACUUCAGUUUGGGUCGUGAUCUCGUGGUUUGUGGGUUCGAGCCCCGCAUCAGGCU
Molecule: transfer RNA, 85 nt
Filed under: Felis catus (domestic cat)
Lineage: Eukaryota; Metazoa; Chordata; Mammalia; Carnivora; Felidae
Also listed under: 1 other name
Rfam family: tRNA
About the family: Transfer RNA (tRNA) molecules are approximately 80 nucleotides in length. Their secondary structure includes four short double-helical elements and three loops (D, anti-codon, and T loops).
Source: Rfam by way of RNAcentral